Molecule: ribosomal RNA, 253 nt
Filed under: uncultured bacterium
Lineage: Bacteria
Description: partial 16S ribosomal RNA
Rfam family: Bacterial small subunit ribosomal RNA
Source: RNAcentral
UACAGAGGGUGCGAGCGUUGUCCGGAAUCAUUGGGCGUAAAGAGCGUGUAGGCGGUUCGGUAAGUCGGCUGUGAAAGUCCAGGGCUCAACCCUGGGAUGCCGGUCGAUACUGCCGGACUAGAGUUCGGAAGAGGCGAGUGGAAUUCCCGGUGUAGCGGUGAAAUGCGCAGACAUCGGGAGGAACACCUAUGGCGAAGGCAGCUCGCUGGGACGUUACUGACGCUGAGACGCGAAAGCGUGGGGAGCAAACAGG